GAACUAGCGGAGGAGGACGACGGCGAGAAGCCGGGCCUCAAGCUCUGGCUGCGCAUGGAGGACGCGCGGCGCGGGGGGCGCCCACGGGACAACCAGGCCAUCGAGUUCCUGUUCCAGCUGGGCCGGGACGCGGCCGAGGAGGUGGCACAGGAGAUGGUGGCUCUGGGCUUGGUCUGUGAAGCCGAUUACCAGCCAGUGGCCCGUGCAGUACGUGAACGGGUUGCUGCCAUCCAGCGAAAGCGUGAGAAGCUGCGUAAAGCAAGGGAAUUGGAGGCACUCCCACCAGAGCCAGGACCUCCACCAGCAACUGUGCCCAUGGCUCCCGGUCCCCCCAGUGUCUUCCCCCCUGAGCCUGAGGAGCCAGAGGCAGACCAGCACCAGCCCUUCCUUUUCCGCCACGCCAGCUACUCAUCUACCACUUGCUUUUGCCCUAUCCAUUCCACGUUCUGGCCCUGGAAGUGACUUUUCCCCCGGGGACAGCUAUGCCUCAGAUGCAGCUUCAGGCCUUAGCGAUGUGGGAGAAGGGAUGGGACAAAUGAGGAGACCCCCAGCGAGGAAUCUCCGGCGCAGACCCCGAUCCCGGCUGCGGGUCACUAGUGUCUCAGACCAGAAUGACAGAGUGGUUGAGUGCCAGCUACAGACCCAUAACAGCAAGAUGGUGACCUUCCGAUUUGAUCUGGAUGGGGACAGCCCGGAAGAGAUUGCAGCUGCCAUGGUAUAUAACGAGUUCAUUCUGCCCUCGGAGCGAGAUGGAUUUCUCAGACGGAUUCGGGAGAUUAUCCAGCGAGUGGAGACCCUGUUGAAGAGAGACACUGGCCCCGUGGAGGCUGCUGAAGACACCCUAAGCCCCCAGGUCAGACCCCUUGGUGGACACUUCCAGGGGAAAUGGACUCUCUGCUCCAGGGUUUAUUACUCUCUGCCCUCAGCGGUCCCCUUGGAUUUAACUCCUCUUCAUCUCUGGGACCCUAAAACAGUGGCGCUUUUUUUUUUUUUUUUUUUUUUGAGAUGGAGUCUCGCUCUGUCGCCCAGGCUGGAGUGCAGUGGCACGAUCUCGGCUCACUGCAAGCUCCGCCUCCCGGGUUCACGCCAUUCUCCUGUCUCAGCCUCCCGAGUAGCUGGGACUACAGGCGCUCGCCACCACACCCGGGUAAUUUUUUUUGUAUUUUUAGUAGAGACAGGGUUUCACCGUGUUAGCCAGGCUGGUCUCGAUCUCCUGACCUCGUGAUCCGCCCUCCUCGGCCUCCCAAAGUGCUGGGAUUACAGGUGUGAGCCACCGCGCCUGGCCUAAAACAGUGGCUCUUAGCCCAUUUGAGAAUAUGAUGAAAGCCAUGGACCCUUGUUCUAGAAAACUUGUUCAAUACAUACUUUUCUUUUAACUCAUUAUUUUGAAAUAAUUUCAGACUUGUGGAGAGAAGUUGCAAGAAUUAUAUAAAGAACCGCUGGAUACCCUUUGCCCAGAUUUGCCACUUGUUAGUGUUUUGCCACCUUAGCGUCAUCAUUGUCUCUUCCUCUCCCCUCUGUAUGUGUGCAUACAUAAUAUAUUUUUCGGAACCACUUAAGAGUAAGUUGCAGACAUCAUGCCCUUUUACCUCUAUACAUUUCAGCACAUAUGCUUCUGAAU
Molecule: small RNA, 1621 nt
Filed under: Pan troglodytes (chimpanzee)
Lineage: Eukaryota; Metazoa; Chordata; Mammalia; Primates; Hominidae
Description: retained intron
Source: RNAcentral